GACUAAAGAACAUCGGAAAGUGGACACGUAACAGACGAAAGGAAGUGAGAGACAAGACGAGAAAUAACUACAAAUUAAGGAGGGGGAAUAAGGGAGGAGCAGGGAGCCCAAGGAAGGGAGCUCCGCCACGACCAGCACCGGCGCAGUUACGGCUUGACCCUCGUACACAGCGCGUCUCUCGUGCGCUCGUCCGGCGAGGAUUUUUUUCUUUUCGUUCUUUCUUUCUCCGCGAUGUGCAGCUAACCACCUAGUGGUUCCUGAGAAAGAGGAAAAGGAAAAGAAUAAGGAGGAGAAGGAAGAUUAUACAUGCAGCGGAGCUCGGUAAAGCAUGUGGGAAUUGCAUGUGGACGUCUGAUAAAGCACAGCGAGGGGAAAUUGCCUCAAUGACUUUUCUUUUCCUUGGCGGGAGGAGAAGUGAGUGGAAGUGACCAAAAGAAAAGAGCACAUUAAGGGAGUUUGUGGGACAUGAGAAGUGACGCCCCCAAACCCAUCGUUAAUUGGCAAAACAGACCUCAGUCGAAGUGACCUGCAGUGACC
This is a long non-coding RNA of Penaeus monodon (black tiger shrimp), 537 nucleotides long. RefSeq lists it as uncharacterized. The transcript is spliced from 2 exons. Lineage: Eukaryota; Metazoa; Arthropoda; Malacostraca; Decapoda; Penaeidae. The record is from RefSeq and is a predicted model, not a curated record.